CCUACGUGAGGCAGCAGUGGGGAAUAUUGCGCAAUGGGCGAAAGCCUGACGCAGCGACGCCGCGUGAGGGCUGAAGGUCUUCGGAUCGUAAACCUCUGUCAGCAGGGAAGAAAGGUCACUGUGCUAAUCAGCAGUGCAUUGACGGUACCGGCAAAGGAAGCACCGGCUAACUCCGUGCCAGCAGCCUCGGUAAUACGGAGGGUGCGAUCGUUAAUCGGAAUUACUGGUCGAAAAGCGCUCGUAGGCGGUAUGUCAAGUCAAGUGUGAAAUCCCCGCGCUCAACGUGGGAACUGACUUUGAAACUGGCAGACUGGAGUGUGUGAGAGGAUAGUGGAAGUCCAGGUGGAGGAGUGAAAUCCGUAGAGAUCUGGAGGAACAUCAGUGGCGAAGGCGACUAUCUGGCACAUAACUGACGCUGAGGAGCGAAAGCGUGGGUAGCAAACAGGAUUAGAUACCCUAGUAGUC
This 465-nucleotide ribosomal RNA is filed under the name uncultured bacterium. RNAcentral's name for it is "partial 16S ribosomal RNA". It matches the Rfam family "Bacterial small subunit ribosomal RNA", at positions 338 to 795 of the family's 1533-position model. The record is from RNAcentral.